Grammomys surdaster is the source of this 195-nucleotide long non-coding RNA. RefSeq lists it as uncharacterized. The record is from RefSeq and is a predicted model, not a curated record. The transcript is spliced from 3 exons. Lineage: Eukaryota; Metazoa; Chordata; Mammalia; Rodentia; Muridae.
CAAAUAUAGCACCUCAGUGCAGCUCUUCUUGUAUUGUGGAACUGCUGUGUCCACGCCAAGCAUAAUUCCGGGUGGAGAAACGUGUACCAGGAACGGAUGGAGCUUUUGUACGGUGAGAGGCACUAGGAGAGCUUCCAGUGGAAUACUUAAGAGAGAGUUGCAUAAGAACAGCUUGCAAAGAAUGUCACAGACCCC